UGCCUUCGGGCUCUGCUGGAAGUGCCCUAAACCAAAGCAUCAUCGCCCAAAUGUUCUACGCCCUUUGUCCCAAAGAAACAAAUGCCCUCGACUGUUUUUAAGUUUGAAAUUCAACCCUUUUUUUUGGGUUUUCUUAUUGCCUGGGAUUGGAGUAAUUGCUUUGCUUUGAUUUGUACCUAUGAAGAAUGAAGAGGUUUUUCUGGCAGAAUAUUUCCUACCACCAUGGAUAGAAGCAGUAAGCCAGUGACCGUCAGUUGUGAAAAUGGUAAGAAAACUUACCCUAGCUGCAAUGGUUUAUCCUAUACCAGUCAAUUUUAUUUGGAUGGUUCAGAUCUUUUUAGAAUGCCGACAACUGCAUAUUUUCUGAAGGCAGAGAAUCAGCUAGGGCUUUAAGUUUUCCUGUAGAAAUUGUUCAUCAUCAACCUCUAACAUGAUUCAACUCUGCAAUUUGAAGACCUUCAGAUUGGUUUACUCAAUAUUUUCUUGUACAUUUGCUUCCAAAACAAUCAGACUGUUGGUUGGAGAUCCAAAACCCUCACAUUUUCUCUUCAGAGUCAGUUGCUCUGCAGACACGUCCCCUCAGAAAUCUCAGCAAACCAACACAAUUUCACAGUCACUUACCUCAUAAACUCUUGUGGGUUGUCCCCAGAAGGAGCGAUUACAGGUUCUAAGUUGGUCAAGUUGCAGUCACCAGAAAGAGCAGACUCCGUUUUAGAGUUUCUGAGAAACUAUGGAGCAUCUCAAACCCAGAUAUCAAAACUUAUUAGGACACGUCCAACACUCCUUUCAACUGAUCCUGAGAAAACCCUUUUGCCAAAACUUGAGUUUUUCAGCUCUCUUGAAAUUUCAAAAGGGGACUUAUUAAAAACUCUGGCUGUUAAUCCACACCUUUUGGCAGUCAGCUUGAGAAAUCGGAUUUUGCCCACUUAUAACUUCCUCAGGAGUAUGCUCUCUGAGAAAAAUGUUGGUGUUGUUUUCAAGCACAACUCAUGGAUUUUCUUGGAAGGUCACUGCAAGCAUGUGGUGCCAAAUAUUGGGCUUUUGAGAGAAUCGGGCAUGCCUCAACCUUGCAUUUCUUUUUUGCUAACUCGUGGAACUCGCGUUUUGAUGGUAAAUCCUGAAAAAUUUGGUCAACUUGUGAAUGAGGCUAAGGAAAUGGGAUUUAAUCUGGAAAAAUCAACUUCAGUGAAUGCCCUGCGUGCAUUCGGUGGUAAGAAUAAGUUGGUAUUGAAUAGAACUCGAAAAGUUCUUAAGACAUGGGGUUGGUCUGAGGAUGAUUUUCUCUCUGCUUUCAGGAAGAACCCACGGUGUAUGAUUGUCUCAGAGAAGAAACUUAUGCAAACAAUGGAUCUUUUAGUGAACAAGAUGGGAUGGUCGUCAGGAAUGAUUGCCAAAUAUUCUGUGGUCCUCGGUCUCAGUUUGGAGAGGAGACUUAUCCCAAGGUGCUCUGUUGCUAAAGUUCUGUUGUUGAAAGGUUUCAUAAAUGAGAACAUGAAUCUGGGUUCUCUGGUGAAACCGGCAGAGAAGCAGUUCUUGGAGAUUUUUGUGAACCGAUAUCUUGGCGAAGUACCUGAAUUGUUAAGUGUGUAUCAAGGGAAGGUAGAUAUCCAGGAUGUCUGAUCUGAUAUGUUGAAACGGGUGAGGAUGUAAUUAUUUUAGCCACCUGAUGCUGCAUCAUUCAUAUGCAUUAGCUUGCUUUUGGCACAAUACUAUAAUGGUGUCCUCUACCCUAAAAAUUUUGUCUUUAAAGUAAGGUUUAAAUUGCAUCCCACAUCUUACUAAAAUUUUGCAGGAAGUAAAUUCAGUUUUUCGUUCUUCUACUCGGCAGCCUACCUGUUUUUAAUUAGAUUUAUAUACUUUCUUAUUAGAACAAAUGCCUGCCGUAGCGUCGCCAGAAUUGUUCUGUUUAUGGUUCCUGACUUUGGUUACACUUGAAAGUUGAUUUUGUAGAAUGUGCGCAUAUACUGCUUCUAUUAGGGUACAAUGUAUUGUAUUUUGGGUGAGGAGUGGAAGAAACUAAUUU
Molecule: non-coding RNA, 2023 nt
Organism: Prunus avium (sweet cherry)
Lineage: Eukaryota; Viridiplantae; Streptophyta; Magnoliopsida; Rosales; Rosaceae
Source: RefSeq, a predicted model, not a curated record